This 352-nucleotide transfer-messenger RNA is filed under the name Acutalibacteraceae. Its description in RNAcentral is "Ruminococcus_E sp002350765 Standard tmRNA". It matches the Rfam family "transfer-messenger RNA". Rfam says of the family: Bacterial tmRNA, also known as 10Sa RNA or SsrA, is named for its dual tRNA and mRNA-like properties. Its role is to liberate the mRNA from a stalled ribosome. To accomplish this part of the tmRNA is used as a reading frame that ends in a translation stop signal. The record is from RNAcentral. Lineage: Bacteria; Bacillati; Bacillota; Clostridia; Eubacteriales. RNAcentral also lists the same sequence under 1 other name.
GGGGAUGUAAAGGUUUCGACGGGGGUUUUAAACCUUGGUAAGCGAGUAGCGGUGUGGAACCGCUAUAAAAUCCACAACUUAAAUUUAAACGGCAAAACUAAUAAGUUAGCUUUAGCAGCUUGAUGUAAGCUGCUUGUCCUGCCGUUGAGCACCACGGCUUCGGCAAGGGCAUCGAUCCAGUGGUAAAUGUGAAUCGGGGGAUGUUCCGACCUCGGUCACACAUCAGGAACUACCGAAGCGUAUAGCCUGUUAUUGGGCGCUGCGCCGAGGGAAUAAAAAUCAAUAACUACACUCGUAGAAAGCCUUGGAGAGAAACUUUCGGACGGGGGUCCGAUUCCCCCCAUCUCCACCA